Protobothrops mucrosquamatus (brown spotted pit viper) is the source of this 238-nucleotide long non-coding RNA. RefSeq lists it as uncharacterized. NCBI's taxonomy places the organism in Eukaryota, Metazoa, Chordata, Lepidosauria, Squamata, Viperidae. The record is from RefSeq and is a predicted model, not a curated record. The transcript is spliced from 3 exons.
AGGUUUAAGGAGCCUCCAGCCUUUGGUCCAAUGUGUGACCUACUGUGGUCCGAUCCAUCGGAAGAUUAUGGCAAUGAGAAGACCUUGGAGCACUUUACUCACAAUACUGUUCGAGGUUGCUCCUAUUUCUACAGUUACCCUGCAAUUUGUGAAUUUUUGCAAAACAACAAUUUGUUAUCCGUGAUUCGAGCGCACGAAGCCCAGGAUGCAGGGUACCGAAUGUACAGAAAGAGCCAAA